Molecule: microRNA, 22 nt
Filed under: Gallus gallus (chicken)
Lineage: Eukaryota; Metazoa; Chordata; Aves; Galliformes; Phasianidae
Description: gga-miR-7444-3p
Source: miRBase by way of RNAcentral
AGUGUUAGGUGCAGCCUUGCUG